This 1182-nucleotide ribosomal RNA is filed under the name Triticum aestivum (bread wheat). RNAcentral describes it as "partial small subunit ribosomal RNA". The record is from RNAcentral. Lineage: Eukaryota; Viridiplantae; Streptophyta; Magnoliopsida; Poales; Poaceae.
AUGAUGCGCCUUGACAUUGUUUCCCCUGCUAAUAUGAGCAACUUUGCCACUCUGAAAAGAAGGACUGUUUUGUAUCUGUGCAAGCAGUGGCCUGUUGUCCCAUGGACCUGGAGCAGAGAGAAUGAGUGUGAGCUAGAUGUAUUUCCCACGCAGCAUCACAAAAGAUUGUGUUGCCUGAAAAAGAGUGUGGAUUUUGUAUUGUCGGCUGCACCAAUUGGUCCUAAUUUCCUAGGAAAGCUCAUUGCGAUUAUAAGAAACUUUUGGUGGACAGGUGUAAGAGAUGAACCUACUACAGAAAGCUUGUGCCUAAGGGCAUGGGCGGACAUUUGCGUUGAGAAGAAAAUUGGCGGCUUAGGCAUCAGAAACUUGCAGGCAAUCAACCAAGGACUUAUUCUUUCGGCGGCAUGGAGGUUGGCAAAAGAACCACAUAGCCAGAUGGCUUUGAUCCUCAAGGCUAAGUAUCACCAUGAAACGUCCAUUUGGAGAGCCAAAGCAAACAAGCCGAAAUCAGCUUUCUGGGUUGCAAUACUAAAGAUGAAGCCUCUCUUAAUUUCAGCAUCUACCUAUCAGAUUAUAGACGCUAAUGAUAUUCUUCAGACUCCUAUAGUUGUUGCUGCUGGACAAGAUGCUUUGAUUUGGAAACUAACACCUGCAGGAAAUUUCUCCUCCAAGAGUGCAUAUAAGCAUUGCUUCAACAACCUUGACCUACCAGCUAGACAGCGACCGAAAGAGGUUCAUCCUCAGAUCGUUGCUCUUCUUAAUCAAGUUUGGCAGGACAAACUCAUGGCGCCACGGGUACAGACAUUUGCUUGGAGACUUCUUAGGAGAGCGCUUCCUACAUGUAAGAGAGCAAGUAAAUUCUCUAAACACAUAAAUGAAAACUGCUCCAGUCACGCCCCCGGCCCCAUAAAUCUCAGGACCGGCCCUGCACGGCACGCGUCCGAUCGCAUGAGAUGGCCAGAUCGGGGUCCUGCCUCGUGGCCUAGCACCUUGUGCGCUCUGAACGUGGUUGUGGGCAGCCCUGUCGUCGCCCUGAACCUGUUCGACAGCUGCUACGCCAUUGCCCAGCUCCCGCGACAGCAAACACUCGUAGUACUGCACGGCACGGGGUGGUUGACAGAGGUGCGUGAUCAAUCUUUUACUGUAGAUCUUGCGCCACCGAAUGUGCUGACAAAGAAUUAA